RNAcentral lists this ribosomal RNA (253 nucleotides) under uncultured bacterium. RNAcentral's name for it is "partial 16S ribosomal RNA". It matches the Rfam family "Bacterial small subunit ribosomal RNA", at positions 524 to 776 of the family's 1533-position model. The record is from RNAcentral.
UACGGGGGGAGCAAGCGUUGUUCGGAUUUACUGGGCGUAAAGAGCGCGCAGGCGGUCGAUCAAGUCGCGUGUGAAAGCCCCCGGCUCAACUGGGGAGGGUCACGCGAUACUGAUCGACUCGAAGGCAGGAGAGGGUAGUGGAAUUCCCGGUGUAGUGGUGAAAUGCGUAGAUAUCGGGAGGAACACCAGUGGCGAAGGCGACUACCUGGCCUGUUCUUGACGCUGAGGCGCGAAAGCUAGGGGAGCAAACGGG